Molecule: ribosomal RNA, 576 nt
Filed under: uncultured eukaryote
Lineage: Eukaryota
Description: SSU rRNA
Rfam family: Eukaryotic small subunit ribosomal RNA
Source: RNAcentral
UAAAAACCCCGACUUCGGAAGGGGUGUAUUUAUUAGAUACAAAACCAAUGCCCUUCGGGGCUCUUUGGUGAUUCAUGAUAACUAUACGAAUCGCACGGCCUUGCGCCGGCGAUGGUUCAUUCAAAUUUCUUCCCUAUCAACUUUCGAUGUUUGGGUAUUGGCCAAACAUGGUUGCAACGGGUAACGGAGGGUUAGGGCUCGACCCCGGGGAAGGAGCCUGAGAAACGGCUACUACAUCCAAGGAAGGCAGCAGGCGCGCAAAUUACCCAAUCCCGACUCGGGGAGGUAGUGACAAUAAAUACUGAUACAGGGCCCUUUCGGGCCUUGUAAUUGGAAUGAGUACAAUUUAAAUCCCUUAACGAGGAACAAUUGGAGGGCAAGUCUGGUGCCAGCAGCCGCGGUAAUUCCAGCUCCAAUAGCGUAUAUUAAAGUUGUUGUGGCUAAAAAGCUCGUAGUUGAACCUUGGGCCUGGCUGGCCGGUCCGCCUCACCGCGUGCACUGGUCCGGCCGGGCCUUUCCCUCUGUGGAACCCCAUACCCUCCACUGGGGCGUGGCGGGGAAACAGGACAUUUACUU